Non-coding RNA from Podarcis muralis (Common wall lizard), 439 nucleotides. The record is from RefSeq and is a predicted model, not a curated record. Lineage: Eukaryota; Metazoa; Chordata; Lepidosauria; Squamata; Lacertidae.
AAUAUAGUGUACAUAUUUAAGAUCUAGUAUGUGUUUUCAGUAGAUUCAUGGACUGCUGGAUGACUGUCCAUGGUGAAGGCUAGGACAACAUGCCAACUCCAUGCAGUGGACCAGACUGGUGCUCUCACAUAUUCAUACUGGCUAAAAGGGCAGCUGAUCAAAAACCAAUCAUGGAAGACCCGCAUUAAAACAAGUACAUGGUUGCCUUCUCCAUGAGCAGGUCUGCAGUGGUAAUUUUCCAGCACCCUUAAGAAGAUUCCAAAGUUGAACACAAACAAAUUGCUGUCAACCUGGUACACCUUCCCUGAUGUCAAUGAUUAAGAAAGAUAUUCAAGAGGUGUUUUGUUUUGUUUUUUAAAAAAGAGAAUUCGGUUCAGUUAUCAUUGUUCAGGGGACAGAAAUAAAACAGCCUUCCUGUUUAGAAGAACUCUUUGUCAUG